Molecule: ribosomal RNA, 490 nt
Filed under: uncultured bacterium
Lineage: Bacteria
Description: partial 16S ribosomal RNA
Rfam family: Bacterial small subunit ribosomal RNA
Source: RNAcentral
AUUGAACGCUGGCGGCAGGCCUAACACAUGCAAGUCGAACGGUAACAGGAAGCAGCUUGCUGCUUCGCUGACGAGUGGCGGACGGGUGAGUAAUGUCUGGGAAGCUGCCUGAUGGAGGGGGAUAACUACUGGAAACGGUAGCUAAUACCGCAUAAUGUCGCAAGCCCAAAGAGGGGGACCUUCGGGCCUCUUGCCAUCGGAUGUGCCCAGAUGGGAUUAGCCUGUUGGUGGGGUAACGGCUCACCAAGGCGACGAUCCCUAGCUGGUCUGAGAGGAUGACCAGCCACACUGGAACUGAGACACGGUCCAGACUCCUACGGGAGGCAGCAGUGGGGAAUAUUGCACAAUGGGCGCAAGCCUGAUGCAGCCAUGCCGCGUGUAUGAAGAAGGCCUUCGGGUUGUAAAGUACUUUCAGCGGGGAGGAAGGGAGUAAAGUUAAUACCUUUGCGCAUUGACGUUACCCGCAGAAGAAGCACCGGCUAACUCCGUG